UCUUCUUGAGGCAAGCACAAGCGAAGU
Molecule: small nuclear RNA, 27 nt
Filed under: Arabidopsis thaliana (thale cress)
Lineage: Eukaryota; Viridiplantae; Streptophyta; Magnoliopsida; Brassicales; Brassicaceae
Description: snRNA_12858
Source: RNAcentral